This 495-nucleotide ribosomal RNA is filed under the name uncultured bacterium. Its description in RNAcentral is "partial 16S ribosomal RNA". It matches the Rfam family "Bacterial small subunit ribosomal RNA", at positions 28 to 507 of the family's 1533-position model. The record is from RNAcentral.
GACGAACGCUGGCGGCGUGCCUAAUACAUGCAAGUAGAACGCUGAAGGAGGACCUUGCUUCUCUGGAUGAGUUGCGAACGGGUGAAAAACGCGGAGGUAACCUGCCUGGUAGCGGGGGAUAACUAUUGGAAACGAUAGCUAAUCCCGCAUAAGAGUAGAUGUUGCAUGAGAUUUGAUUAAAAGUUGCAAUUGCCUCACUACCAGAUGGUCCUGCGUUGUAUUAGCUAGUUGGUGGGGUAACGGCUCACCAAGGCGACGAUACAUAGCCGACCUGAGAGGGUGAGCGGCCACACUGGGACUGAGACACGGCCCAGACGCCUACGGGAGGCAGCAGUAGGGAAUCGUCGGCAAUGGACGGAAGUCUGACCGAGCAACGCCGCGUGAGUGAAGAAGGUUUUCGGAUCGUAAAGCUCUGUUGUAAGAGAAGAACGAGUGUGAGAGUGGAAAGUGCACACUGUGACGGUAUCUUACCAGAAAGGGACGGCUAACUACGUG